RNAcentral lists this long non-coding RNA (3176 nucleotides) under Manduca sexta (tobacco hornworm). RNAcentral describes it as "uncharacterized LOC119189329". The record is from RNAcentral. Lineage: Eukaryota; Metazoa; Arthropoda; Insecta; Lepidoptera; Sphingidae.
UCAAGAAAAGUAGAAUUGUUUUUUUCCCCAUCGGGAAUAAAAGGCAUGUGUAUGUGUCAUUUAUAACCUAAAAUGUGCUUUUCCCAUAUCUUAAUGUGCUCCUACUCUAGGCGAGUCGAAAUAAUGUAAUCCAAGAACAAUGAAACGAUAACUGCAACAAGAAAAAGAUUGAACCACACCUGUAGUACAAAGCACUAGUUUCAUAAAAAGUGUACGACUGUAAUCAGCUUCAUGGAAAAAAUUAAAUAGCAAUGGAUUUUGUGUUGAUAUUCUACGCACAAAUCAUCUUACUUCUUUUAGAAACAACGUCAUCGCAAUACGAGUACCAGAGCGUACAAACCGCAUACUACCAAAACCCGUAUCAAAACAUUUAUCAAAACAAUUACCCGAUGGACGGAUUUGAAACAAACAAUGAUUACGAAGAACCAGAGAAUUACAGACGCUCUAGAAAACACAAGCGCAAACGUUACGGCAGCAGCGGCGGCAGAUUACCUUUACUAGAAGACAGUAACGAAGAAUCUGAGGAGUGCACGUGCUCCUGCAACAGUUGCGCGAACAUCAAGCCUUGUUGCAAAGACGCUUGCAACUGCAACACUCAGAGCCAACCAAACGUUGUCAUCAUGCCGUAUCUUUACCCGCUGGUUGUAACUCAAACUACAAGCACAACUACGACGACUACGACCACCCCGAAGCCAAUUCGAAUACAAGACACGAAUAUUCACUUAGACAAUAGACCGAUAAGCCGUAGACGGACCAAGCCCGUCUGGUUGCCAAAAUAUGGCAUAGUCCCGCUACCAGAUCAUCUGGCUGAGAGAUUGAUGUCAAAGCUGCGCGAAGUAAAAGGGCUAAAAGCGGAGCGAAGAAAGAGAUAAAUGCUUUUCUAUACGUAUCUCACUUCUUAUUCUUACUAAUAUUACAAAUGCGAAGGUUUGUGAAAGUGUUUGGAUGUUUGUUAAAAGUAAACAGAGAAGUAACUAAAUACAUUUCAGUGGAAUUUGGCACAUGAAUGGAUCUCCUGGAUUACCAUAUAGACUACUUUUUCUCUCAAUAAUUUACUUCCACGGAAAUUGAAUUUUAUAAUCUGAUUUCUUGAAUAGAAGGCGCUAACGUCGAGCAGAUCGCUCCAUGGAUAGUUGUGUUUUAGGGACUUUUAAAGCAGAAAAGGCUUUUUACGCCGUCGAAGCCACGAGCAAGACCUAGAAAGUUAUGUUUUUAUAACAGUUAAAAAAUACCAUAUAUCGUGUAAUUCUGCAUAUUGUAUUCAGCUUUCCACAAUACUCGAUGUUACCAAAAAGAGUUUGGAUUCGAGCUCUUCUAAUUAAUUUAAAAAUAGCAUAGGCGUACUUCUAAUAUUAUUAUUGUGGUGAUAAGUACAAUAGUGCUAUAUUCUUAAUGUAGAGAGCAAUGGACUAUCUUCGUAAACAUGUCUUCUUCAUCGCCUUUGACGUAGUUCUUAAAUACGUGUUUGUUACAUUUAAAGCACCUGCUCUUUUGAACGAGAACUAUUCAAAAUAAUAAUACGGCAUGAAUACAAUUUCUUCUGAAAUGCUGAGGUUAUUCUGAGAUGUGAUUCAUCUUUUAACCCAUUUACUGAUAAUCCAGGUCUGAUCGUAGUGCUCAUCGGAAUUAUUGCCGUUUACCAUAGUUACUUUAGUUCAUUUUUAUUUUUAUAUGAAAACGUUAAAGUUUAUAUAAAUUUUGUAGAGUUUGGCGUUUGUGUAAGUAAUAAAAUUGCGUUGAUUUAUUUUAUUGGUUAUAUUUCAAGUGUUCGCAUUACUUUUCACUUCAUAUUGCUGUGCAAUAUUUAUGUAUCCUACGAUUACUAAGCAUUUGCAGUGCGUUAUAUUUCUUCAAAAAGAAUAAAAUUGAAAUAACAAGCAAAAUUUUAUUGAUUUACACAAAAGGAUUAUGUUCAUGUUACAAAUACAAAUAGUUUAUAACCUCAUCUCAACAAUAUCGACGCAAUACUUUAAACUUCACCAACCACCUUUACAAGCAGUACCAUAUUACCAACCAAACUAUCUGCCAAAUAAUUACUUCCAUCAAGAAACGGAUUCCAGUGAAGACUCCGAUGGGAGACGAUGUAAAUGCUCAUGUUUUGACUGUUCACGACCUAAGCGAUGUUGUAGAAGAGUGUGUAGAAAUUGCAAGACAAAAGAGGUCCAAGGACUUGUCGUGGUACCCUAUCCUGUUCCCCUGCUAAUGUAUUCUACAGAAAAAACAGUUGAAAGUUCAACUAAAUCAAAAGAAAAUAAAACAAAAUUACUUUCCCUUGAAAGUGAGAAUAUAAGUACGUUCUCUACAGCUCCAGUUUAUGUUGAAGAUGGUGAUGAUAUAAAAAGUGUUAAUACAAAUAAGGUACAUUUAGGAGCAUCUAAUCAUAAGUACUCAAACUUGAAAAAUAAAAAUAAAUAUAUGGUGGCGCGGAUUAAUGAAGACUACAGACCAAAUAAGAAUACUGUUAUUAGGUUUAAGAAAUUAGAUGACAGGAAGAAAUACGAAGUGAUACCUUUGCCUAAUAAGUUAGCUAUUGAAGUACUAAAGGGGCUGCAAAAAUAUGACGAUCUUAAACUGAAAUAAUAAGGUGUAUUUCGCAUUUUUCAUGUAAUCUGUCGCAAGCCGGUGAAUUUUUUUCGCAUAGUUUUCUCAGCCACUUAAAGCAAUGUUGGUAAAUGUACAGGAAAUAAUUUGUAAAAUAUAUUAUUCAUUUUAUUCGUGGCUUUCCAAUUUAUAUUUUGUCAAGCCCUAUGCGUAUUGCUUAUUGAAAAACUAUGAUUACCGAAAGUUCAUUGUACAUAUCAUAAUGACAAAUUUUGUAAUAAAAAUAGAAUAUAAGCUUAUUUACCCGGGGAAACUAAUGCUGUACAGUUUUCAAAUACUUUCGAAAAUUCCGCUAUAUUUGUUAUCUACGCUUAAAAAGUAUAACUCGAUUUCUGUUUUACAAAGGGUUAUCAUUUCGAUUUUUAUUAUAAUUUGACACAAAUACCUAUUUUCAACACUGCAAUCCUCUCACUUCACUCACGUUUUCGCGGCAAAAUUCUGAUGGUCAGAUAUUAACGAAUUAACCGAUGUUUGGACAAUGGCGCGUGUCGUGACCUUUCAGAGGAGUACGAGACUGCGCGUGAGUCGGGGUCACUGAUGUUAGAGUAUUUUUAGAGUUGAAAGUUCAAAAUACG